UGGGGAAACCCAGUGUGACUCGUCACACUAUCAUUAACUGAAUCCAUAGGUUAAUGAGGCGAACCGGGGGAACUGAAACAUCUAAGUACCCCGAGGAAAAGAAAUCAACCGAGAUUCCCCCAGUAGCGGCGAGCGAACGGGGAGGAGCCCAGAGCCUGAAUCAGCAUGUGUGUUAGUGGAAGCGUCUGGAAAGGCGCGCGAUACAGGGUGACAGCCCCGUACACAAAAGCGCAUGUGUUGUGAGCUCGAUGAGUAGGGCGGGACACGUGGUAUCCUGUCUGAAUAUGGGGGGACCAUCCUCCAAGGCUAAAUACUCCUGACUGACCGAUAGUGAACCAGUACCGUGAGGGAAAGGCGAAAAGAACCCCGGCGAGGGGAGUGAAAAAGAACCUGAAACCGUGUACGUACAAGCAGUGGGAGCACAGGUUUACCUGUGUGACUGCGUACCUUUUGUAUAAUGGGUCAGCGACUUAUAUUCUGUAGCAAGGUUAACCGUAUAGGGGAGCCGGAGGGAAACCGAGUCUUAAUUGGGCGUUAAGUUGCAGGGUAUAGACCCGAAACCCGGUGAUCUAGCCAUGGGCAGGUUGAAGGUUGGGUAACACUAACUGGAGGACCGAACCGACUAAUGUUGAAAAAUUAGCGGAUGACCUGUGGCUGGGGGUGAAAGGCCAAUCAAACCGGGAGAUAGCUGGUUCUCCCCGAAAGCUAUUUAGGUAGCGCCUCGUGAAUUCAUCUCCGGGGGUAGAGCACUGUUUCGGCUAGGGGGCCAUCCCGGCUUACCAACCCGAUGCAAACUGCGAAUACCGGAGAAUGUUAUCACGGGAGACACACGGCGGGUGCUAACGUCCGUCGUGAAGAGGGAAACAACCCAGACCGCCAGCUAAGGUCCCAAAGUCAUGGUUAAGUGGGAAACGAUGUGGGAAGGCCCAGACAGCCAGGAUGUUGGCUUAGAAGCAGCCAUCAUUUAAAGAAAGCGUAAUAGCUCACUGGUCGAGUCGGCCUGCGCGGAAGAUGUAACGGGGCUAAACCAUGCACCGAAGCUGCGGCAGCGAACGUAUCACCCAAGACAACUUUGCGGAGUUGACGAUUGACGGAGCGAAGCGACGUCAAAGCGUUCAUUAAAGUCGAGUUGGCUUAGGGAUACGUUCGUUGGGUAGGGGAGCGUUCUGUAAGCCAGUGAAGGUGUGUCGUGAGGCAUGCUGGAGGUAUCAGAAGUGCGAAUGCUGACAUAAGUAACGAUAAAGCGGGUGAAAAGCCCGCUCGCCGGAAGACCAAGGGUUCCUGUCCAACGUUAAUCGGGGCAGGGUGAGUCGACCCCUAAGGCGAGGCCGAAAGGCGUAGUCGAUGGGAAACGGGUUAAUAUUCCCGUACUUGGUGUUACUGCGAAGGGGGGACGGAGAAGGCUAUGUUGGCCGGGCGACGGUUGUCCCGGUUUAAGCGUGUAGGUGUGUGUUCCAGGUAAAUCCGGUUCACUUUAACACUGAGGCGUGAUGACGAGGCACUACGGUGCUGAAGCAACAAAUGCCCUGCUUCCAGGAAAAGCCUCUAAGCAUCAGGUAACAUCAAAUCGUACCCCAAACCGACACAGGUGGUCAGGUAGAGAAUACCAAGGCGCUUGAGAGAACUCGGGUGAAGGAACUAGGCAAAAUGGUGCCGUAA
This 1659-nucleotide ribosomal RNA is filed under the name Salmonella enterica subsp. enterica. Its description in RNAcentral is "partial 23S ribosomal RNA". It matches the Rfam family "Bacterial large subunit ribosomal RNA", at positions 119 to 1733 of the family's 2925-position model. Lineage: Bacteria; Pseudomonadati; Pseudomonadota; Gammaproteobacteria; Enterobacterales; Enterobacteriaceae. The record is from RNAcentral.